GUUUGGUGGUGAACGUGGUGGUGCUGCUGGGGGAAAGGUUGGACUGGAUGAUCCCAGAGGGCUUUUCCGACCUAAAUGAUUCUGUGAUUCUCUGACCGAGCUCAUCCUCCAUUGGAACUUUUUGUUUUCCCCAAGUUAAUUUUGGACUCAGGAAAUCCCAGCUGGACAGUAUUGGAGGUGCAGCCCCCCAGCCCUGAGUGGAGCUGGGCAGUGACUGUCCCACCCCACUGCCCACACUCUUUACACAGCCCAGGGUGGAGUUCCCAUAUUUAGGAGCAACCAUUUGCUCAUGUUCACCUUGGUCCCACCAUAGCUCCCAGGCCCUUCACACCAAACUGCUCACACUUUACAGGCUGGUUUGGCUGCAGAGGACUAUUCUGCCCCAGCCACAAUUCCACAUGGAGAUGAAAACAGUCCAGAGAAAGCAAAUGUAUCUACAGCAGCAGCCUGAGGUUCAUUGCCUGGAUGGGAGUUUCCAGCCUGUCACAGCUUUGCUCCAUCCCGUGGGAGCUGGACACGUUCCCUCAGAUGGCUCUUUGAGCCCUGGUGCCUUCUCAGCAGUUGUGCUUUCUUUUAUCUCUCUGUGCUGCACCUUCCCUGAAAACAAAGGACUGUUUGCAUUCAAA
Molecule: long non-coding RNA, 626 nt
Organism: Pipra filicauda (Wire-tailed manakin)
Lineage: Eukaryota; Metazoa; Chordata; Aves; Passeriformes; Pipridae
Exons: 2
Source: RefSeq, a predicted model, not a curated record